AGAGGGUGCAAGCGUUAAUCGGAAUUACUGGGCGUAAAGGGCGCGUAGGUGGUUUUAUAAGUUGGCUGUGAAAGCCCCGGGCUUAACCUGGGAGGGUCAGCCAAAACUAUAAGACUAGAGUACGGUAGAGGGUAGUGGAAUUUCCGGUGUAGCGGUGAAAUGCGUAGAUAUCGGAAGGAACACCAGUGGCGAAGGCGACUACCUGGACUGAUACUGACACUGAGGCGCGAAAGCGUGGGGAGCGAACAGGAUUAGAUACCCUGGGUAGUCCACGCCGUAAACGAUGAGAACUAGCCGUUGGGGACGUAAGUCUUUAGUGGCGCAGCUAACGCGAUAAGUUCUCCGCCUGGGGAGUACGGCCGUAAGGCUA
RNAcentral lists this ribosomal RNA (370 nucleotides) under uncultured organism. Its description in RNAcentral is "partial 16S ribosomal RNA". It matches the Rfam family "Bacterial small subunit ribosomal RNA", at positions 527 to 896 of the family's 1533-position model. The record is from RNAcentral.